Non-coding RNA from Neolamprologus brichardi, 1013 nucleotides. The record is from RefSeq and is a predicted model, not a curated record. Lineage: Eukaryota; Metazoa; Chordata; Actinopteri; Cichliformes; Cichlidae.
CCAUGCUACACAGUAUCCAUUUUUCCCCACCUGCAUGUGCAGGAACAUUAUACUGAUGAGCUGUAACAGCUGAGAAGUGAUUUGACUUUGUGUGUGUGUGUGUGUGUGUGUGUGUGUGUGUGUGUGCGCGCCUGCAGUGUCGUGACGUCAGAACCCGGGAAGUGGGCAUCCAAGAGAUCCACCACAAAGUCCGACCUUACCAGGUGGAGCUGAUACGGAGAGACUAUGUGGCCAACAGCAGCUGGGAGACCUUUCUCUCCUAUGAAGACCCUGAGCAGGACAUCCUGAUUGGUCUGUUGCGGCUGCGCCGCUGCUCUCCACAGUCCUUCCGCCCGGAGCUCAAAGGAGGCGUGUCCAUUGUCCGUGAGCUGCACGUGUAUGGCAGCGUGGUCCCCGUGAGCAGCCGAGACCCGAGCAAGUUCCAGCAUCAGGGCUUCGGCAUGAUGCUGAUGGAGGAGGCUGAGAGAAUCGCCAGGGAGGAGCACGGCUCCUGCAAACUGGCUGUUAUCUCAGGUGUAGGAACGAGGAACUACUACAGGAAGAUGGGCUACGAGCUGGAGGGACCGUAUAUGGUGAAGGACCUGUACUGGCCGGACUGAACGGAGUUUAUUUAUCAAAACACACUCUGGGACACGAAUAUUAAUGUGAUGGUGUUCUGCAGUAUCGGAGGCGGUGCUGGUCGGCCUGUUUUAUCUGGAGCGCACAGAGGCCGCCGCUGCUCCAUUUCUUCUGUUUUUUAAAGAUAAGGAGACGCACGAGAGGAUGUAAGGAAUUAGGGAACGUUAUCUGGGGUGAAGCCAGCCUUUGAGUUCAAAUUAAGAUUCUUUAAACGUACAGUGUCAUCAUAUGGGUGCCUUUUAUUUAAAGUUGCGCAUUUCCGAGUCUCCCCCUUUUUCUGUAAACACGGGUCCCGGUCGCACCGCUCAGCCUCACAACAAGCAGCACUGAUUCACUUUGACGUGGAACAAGAGCCGACCUGCCGAGCAUUUUUAAUUCCACUGCAAUGAUCCGUG